This 239-nucleotide ribosomal RNA is filed under the name uncultured Lactobacillus sp. RNAcentral's name for it is "partial 16S ribosomal RNA". It matches the Rfam family "Bacterial small subunit ribosomal RNA", at positions 125 to 355 of the family's 1533-position model. Lineage: Bacteria; Bacillati; Bacillota; Bacilli; Lactobacillales; Lactobacillaceae. The record is from RNAcentral.
CCGUAGCCCAAGAGAUCGGGAUAACACCUGGAAACAGAUGCUAAUACCGGAUAACAANAGAUGAUGCCUAUCAACUGUUUAAAAGAUGGUUCUGCUAUCACUCUUGGAUGGACCUGCGGUGCAUUAGCUAGUUGGUAGGGUAACGGCCUACCAAGGCGAUGAUGCAUAGCCGAGUUGAGAGACUGAUCGGCCACAUUGGGACUGAGACACGGCCCAAACUCCUACGGGAGGCAGCAGCC